UGCAGAGUAGACUGUAAAGCGUUAAGUGCCAGAUGAACAGGGAGUUGUCAUUUGGACGAAGGGGCAAUCCGCGGUUUUAUGGUCGCAUCCCGCUGCU
Non-coding RNA from Butyrivibrio fibrisolvens 16/4, 97 nucleotides. The record is from Rfam. Lineage: Bacteria; Bacillati; Bacillota; Clostridia; Lachnospirales; Lachnospiraceae.